AGGGAAUUAAGCUUAGACUUUGAAUUUGAGAGGAUUGUGGUGAAAAAAACAAACAAACAUAAACACACCAUCGUUCAUUGUAAAGGUCGCCCAACAAAACAUAACAACAACAUAAUGACUUGUGAUCAUUUGUCACAGUUUUCAGAGUUUAAAGAACCGUCUGGAUUCUGUAAAUCUCACAGUUAAAGCCUGCUUGCUGUGUUUCCUGGUUUUCUGAGCAAAGAUGAGAAACCUGCAGUCUGUCCUCUCACUUUCAUUCAGGAAGAGCAGAGCAGAGUCAGGAAGAGGAACCGAGGAAGACAGGAAGAAGGAGCCUGGCUGAGAACUGUGUUCAGGUGUGAGCACUACAGCUGCAGCACAACUGUGGACUCCACCCUGAUGAUUGUUUGAGACAACCUGAGAUGGAUGCUGGGAAAUCUGUGAUAUUCUGCUGGAUUCUGGUCGUCUGCUUUUCACUGGCUGCAUAUGCAGACCAGAAAACGAUCACAGCUGAGUCUGGACAGAACGUCACUCUGACAUGUCGAGCUGCAAACAACAACAUCAUUGUUGUUGUAGAGUGGAGCAGAGCUGAUCUGGAGCCAGAUUAUGUCCUCCUGUACCGUGAUGAGCGGUUUGAUCCAGAAAACCAGCAUCUAUCUUUUAAGAACCGGGUGGAUCUGCAGGACAGACAGAUGAAGGAUGGAGACGUGUCUUUGAUUCUGAAGGAUGUGACGAGUGCUGAUAAUGGAACAUAUGAGUGUCGUGUCUUCAUGAGAGGAGCAAACCGCAGGAAGAGAGCUCAUCUGAAGACUGAGCCCAUCACCACCAUCAGGUUAAAUGUUCUUCCAGGUGAGUGGUGAAAAGAGGUGAAGCUGCUUCCUGGUUGUUGAUGUUUGUUUCUAAAGAUGUUGUUGAUGAGACUUUGUAGAAAGCAGCUGGUCUGAGUGAUGUGAUCAGAGUGCAGUAGAUAAUGUCUGACAGCAGUUUGAAGAGGAAAUGGAUUCUGUUCUGUUCUUCACUCAUCACCUACCUGACAGCUGACACCUCACACCUGUUUCUCACCUGCAGGUCAGACAGGAGGACACACAGAGGAUGGAGGGAAGGAGGAUGAAGGGAAGGAGGAUGGAUCUGUUGGAGUGAUCGUUGGUGUGGUAGUUGCUGUUGUCCUUCUUGUUGUUGUUGGUGUUGGUUUGUUGAUCUACAGAAAGCUUAAAGAGCAUGACUGUCAGCCAGUUUGAAACUUAGACUAAACAUUUAUUUAUUCCAAAUAGAUAAUAAAUUUUGUGCUUAAAGAAUGUAGUGUUUUUUCCCCCAAUCAUGUAAGUGAAACAGGAGCAGACUGAAAUGUCACAUGUGCCAUCAAGAAGUGCCAAAAUAAGAUUUUCAUGAAUUUUUUAUAUUUUCUUUUAUCUUUAUGCAAAACAUCAAUAAACAGUCCAGCAGAUAUGUUCAGGUUUCAUGUUUAAACAUUGAUUAUAAAGUUUUUAAAGAAAUACAACUGAUCCAAAGAUAAAUUAAGAGGUUUAGUCUUAUAGCAGACUAAACCUCUCUUUAUACUGUGAGCUGUUUCUGCUACUUCCUGUUCUCGACCUCCUGCUGAGCUAACGUCUCAUGUGAUCAGGUAGAGGCUAAUUAGGGGGUCACUCCCCUACACUCCCACAGGGCUUAAAUCUGGGACUCUCCACCAUUUGCUCUUAGAACUGAAGAAGCUUCUCAGAUGAGAAGUGAAACGUCUUCAAGCAGCUCAAACAAGUCCAGACACUUUUCUUUCCAAGCUUCUUAAAGUACGAUGACCUGGAUGACUGAGAACCUUCACAGACAAUGUCUCUGUAACUUUACCUUUAGUUUCCAACUACCUGCUGCUUCACUUUAAACAGAUAAAACACUCAUGUUUAUAUAUAUAUAUAUAUAUAUAUAUAUACAUAUAUAUAUAUGUAUAUAUAUAUAUAAAAAGCUUCUAAUGUUUCUCAUAUGCAGCUUUAAGCACUGCACACACUUCUUAACUUUGUUGCAGCACACUGUAUUUAAUAUAUUUACUAUUGUAACGUGUAUUACAUCUAAUGUGGAUGAUGAGUAAGAUUCACGUUAAUUUUUUAUGUAAAAAUGAAGCUGUUGACUCAGUUCAUGCAGUUUGCAGCGACUUUCUGUUUCUAAUGUUUUUACUGUAAAAGUGCAUUCAGAUGGUGUUUGUUGUUUCCUGGUGCUUCAUGAUUAAUCCUGCAGUGAAACUGAAUAAUCUGAGCUGGACUCAAACAUACCACACUGAGCAGACGAACCAAGAAUCAAACUGCAUUAAAACCUGAUGGAAAACCUGCUCACUGACUUUCUCCCACUUUGACUGAAACUGUAUCCAGAGACUCGAUUUAAAGAUUAAUUAUUAUUAUUGUUGUACAACAUCUGCAC
This is a long non-coding RNA of Oreochromis niloticus (Nile tilapia), 2382 nucleotides long. Lineage: Eukaryota; Metazoa; Chordata; Actinopteri; Cichliformes; Cichlidae. The record is from Ensembl.